This 422-nucleotide ribosomal RNA is filed under the name uncultured bacterium. RNAcentral's name for it is "bacterial SSU rRNA". It matches the Rfam family "Bacterial small subunit ribosomal RNA", at positions 355 to 774 of the family's 1533-position model. The record is from RNAcentral.
UCGGGAAUUUUGGGCAAUGGGCGAAAGCCUGACCCAGCAACGCCGCGUGAGGGAUGAAGUAUUUCGGUAUGUAAACCUCGAAAGAAUGGGAAGAAUAACUAAGUUUGGAGCUUAGUAUGACUGUACCCUCAGAGAAAGCCCCGGCUAACUACGUGCCAGCAGCCGCGGUAAUACGUAGGGGGCAAGCGUUGUCCGGAUUUACUGGGUGUAAAGGGCGCGCAGGCGGAAUGGAAAGUCAGUGGUGAAAUCCUACAGCUUAACUGUAGAACUGCCUUUGAUACUUUCAUUCUUGAGUUCGGGAGAGAGAGACGGAAUUCCAGGUGUAGUGGUGAAAUACGUAGAUAUCUGGAAGAACACCAGUUGCGAAGGCGGUCUCUUGGUCCGAUACUGACGCUGAGGCGCGAAAGCGUGGGGAGCAAACA